This is a long non-coding RNA of Poecilia reticulata (guppy), 1205 nucleotides long. RefSeq lists it as uncharacterized. The record is from RefSeq and is a predicted model, not a curated record. Lineage: Eukaryota; Metazoa; Chordata; Actinopteri; Cyprinodontiformes; Poeciliidae.
UAGCCGUUAGCUUCUUCACCACUGGAGCAGCUAGUUCGGAAAUGUGGAAAGCUAUUGCAGAUAAGAACUGAAAUCUACUUCAAAAACCACAAGCUAUCCAUUUAAAGCCAUGUUGCCCCGAGCUUCAUGUAAAAGUCUUUUCUUUCACUCUUUCUUUACCCCACAUUGCCAAACAAGCUAAGCUGGCUCAGUUUUUCCCCAGCAGCGCUUUUACAUGUUUGUGCUUACAUCAGCUACUUCACAAAACGUGUCACUUCAGAGUCCUUCGCUAAGCCCGCAGAACACAACAGAGACAAGACCGGAGUUCCCAUUGAGAAGCCAAGAGAGGUGAUCCUCAACUCUAGGAGAAGAUGCAAAUGUCUUAAACAAUUCAAGUCGAGUCUCCAGCUCUGUAACGCGAUCCCCCAGACGAGCCAACAUCCAGGAGCAGAACAAUGACACGUCACGCCCCCGCACGUCUCAGAGCUGCAGGAGUCACUGACGCCUCCAGCCUCACAUCCACCCCACACGUCUGCCCGAACGCAGCAGCCUGGCAGCCGCUUUCAUGGCAACAUCUUCACCCCCACAGAGCACGCCGAGAGUCUGCUCCUUCUGUGUCAUUCAGCGCGUUGUGAGUCGCACACAGAACGAAAACAGGUUGACCUUUUAGCGUCCGAGUGUCUUGACACUCGUUCGCCGUGCUCUGAAGGGUUGCUGGUGCCGCGGCAUCUCGUCUUAUCUCCGGCCAACACGCCUUGCUGUGACGAGGAGCGCCUCUGCCUCAGACAGGGCCAAGCUGCUUUUGCUGCUGCUGCUGCUUCUGGGCAGGGAACCAGAGAAGGGGUGGAAAGGAAAGAGAAAGAGGGGCGAAGGGGGUUGAGGUUAACUGCAGCAGGGGCGGCGCACAAACCGAGAAGGGGGGCGGAGGGGGAGCUCCCCCCCUCAUCCACAAGCGCCUGACGACCACUGACAGCUGAGCUUCCCCUCUCUGCGGGGGUUUCAUGACCACAAACUGACACUCCCUCACACACACGCACACACACACACACACGCAUACACACGCAUUGCUCCUGUUUAGCUGUCUUCUUUAACCCAUUGGUGCAAAUUCUGACUACUCUCAGACUGCAACAGGAAGAGAUUAAUUUAGAGUCGAAAACAGAUAUUUGCACAAAUAGUUUUUUUUUUACUCACUGCCCAAAGUUAAAUCAGACCAAACUUUUCUUGUU